This 94-nucleotide transfer RNA is filed under the name Stenotrophomonas maltophilia. RNAcentral describes it as "tRNA-Ser". Lineage: Bacteria; Pseudomonadati; Pseudomonadota; Gammaproteobacteria; Lysobacterales; Lysobacteraceae. The record is from RNAcentral. RNAcentral also lists the same sequence under 1 other name.
GGUCCCAUGCACUUUGUAAGUCUUUGAUUGAUCGGGCGACGAAAUCCCCCUCCUAAGGGGAAGGUCGCCCGUUCGAAUCGGGCCGGGGUCACCA